GGCAGGGUAGCUCAGAGGAUAGAGCACGUAAAUACAUUUCCCCACCCCUUGUUGCCGUGCGCGCCCACCCCCUACGGGCGGAUGCCGGCAGGAUUACAUCGGUUGUUUACAGCGGGUUCGAUCCCCGCAGUCCUGCCA
RNAcentral lists this transfer RNA (138 nucleotides) under Neisseria sp. Its description in RNAcentral is "tRNA-OTHER". Lineage: Bacteria; Pseudomonadati; Pseudomonadota; Betaproteobacteria; Neisseriales; Neisseriaceae. The record is from RNAcentral.